AGAGGUGAGAGGUACUUCAGGGGUAGGGGUGAAAUCUUGUAAUCCUUGAAGGACCACCAGUGGCGAAGGCGUCUCACCAGAACGGACCUGACGGCAAGGGACGAAAGCUAGGGGCACGAACCGGAUUAGAUACCCGGGUAGUCCUAGCCGUAAACGAUACUCGCUAGGUGUCGGCCACGGUGCGACCGUUGUCGGUGCCGUAGGGAAGCCGUGAAGCGAGCCACCUGGGAAGUACGGCCGCAAGGCUGAAACUUAAAGGAGUUGGCGGGGGAGCACCACAACGGGUGGAGCUUGCGGUUUAAUUGGAUUCAACGCCGGA
This 319-nucleotide ribosomal RNA is filed under the name uncultured archaeon. RNAcentral's name for it is "bacterial SSU rRNA". It matches the Rfam family "Archaeal small subunit ribosomal RNA", at positions 604 to 922 of the family's 1478-position model. The record is from RNAcentral.